This 253-nucleotide ribosomal RNA is filed under the name uncultured bacterium. Its description in RNAcentral is "partial 16S ribosomal RNA". It matches the Rfam family "Bacterial small subunit ribosomal RNA", at positions 524 to 776 of the family's 1533-position model. The record is from RNAcentral.
UACGGAGGGUGCAAGCGUUAUCCGGAUUCACUGGGCUUAAAGGGUGCGUAGGAGGGCAGGUAAGUCAGUGGUGAAAUCUCCGAGCUUAACUCGGAAACUGCCGUUGAUACUAUCUGUCUUGAAUCCCGUGGAGAUGAGCGGAAUAUGUCAUGUAGCGGUGAAAUGCUUAGAUAUGACAUAGAACACCAAUUGCGAAGGCAGCUCGUUACACGAAGAUUGACUCUGAGGCACGAAAGCGUGGGGAUCAAACAGG